RNAcentral lists this ribosomal RNA (468 nucleotides) under uncultured bacterium. Its description in RNAcentral is "partial 16S ribosomal RNA". It matches the Rfam family "Bacterial small subunit ribosomal RNA", at positions 28 to 507 of the family's 1533-position model. The record is from RNAcentral.
GACGAACGCUGGCGGCGUGCUUAACACAUGCGAGUCGAACGGAAAGGCCCUGCUUUUGUGGGGUGCUCGAGUGGCGAACGGGUGAGUAACACGUGAGUAACCUGCCCUUGACUUUGGGAUAACUUCAGGAAACUGGGGCUAAUACCGGAUAGGAGCUCCUGCUGCAUGGUGGGGGUUGGAAAGUUUCGGCGGUUGGGGAUGGACUCGCGGCUUAUCAGCUUGUUGGUGGGGUAGUGGCUUACCAAGGCUUUGACGGGUAGCCGGCCUGAGAGGGUGACCGGCCACAUUGGGACUGAGAUACGGCCCAGACUCCUACGGGAGGCAGCAGUGGGGAAUAUUGCACAAUGGGCGGAAGCCUGAUGAAGAAACGCAGCGUGCGGGAUGACGGCCUUCGGGUUGUAAACCGCUUUCGCCUGUGACGAAGCGUGAGUGACGGUAAUGGGUAAAGAAGCACCGGCUAACUACGUG